RNAcentral lists this ribosomal RNA (1608 nucleotides) under Chlorella sorokiniana. Its description in RNAcentral is "SSU rRNA". It matches the Rfam family "Bacterial small subunit ribosomal RNA". Lineage: Eukaryota; Viridiplantae; Chlorophyta; Trebouxiophyceae; Chlorellales; Chlorellaceae. The record is from RNAcentral.
UGAGUUUGAUCCUGGCUCAGAAUGAACGCUAGCGAUAAGCUUAACACAUGCAAGUUGAACGUCUCUUUUUGUUUUUUCUCAAUUUGAAAAAUUUAAAAAGGAGAAGUAGCGAACGGGUGAGUAACGCGUAAGAAUCUACCUCACAAACCAAGGAAAGAGAAAUCUGAAUCUUGGAUACUCAAAGUUAAAAGACGUUGUGAGAUGAGCUUGCGUAGGAUUAGGUAGUUGGUAGGGUAAAAGCCUCCCAAGCCGAAGAUCCUUAGCUGAUCUGAGAGGAUGAUCAGCCACAUUGGGACUGAGACACGGCCCAAACGCUUUCGAGCGGCAGCAGUGAGGAAUAUUGGACAAUGGGCGAAAGCCUGAUCCAGCUAUAUCGCGUGGGUGAUGAAGACUGUGUUGGUUGUAAAGCCCUUGACUCUUUGAAAGAUUAUGACAAACAAAGAGCAAAAAGUCCCGGCCAAUCUCGUGCCAGCAGCCGCGGUAAUACGAGAGGGGCGAGCGUUAUUCGGAAUGAUUGGGCGUAAAGCGCACGUAGGCGGUUUAGAAAAUCCAAAAUCGAGAAUCUCAAAGCUUUACUUUGAGAAGUAUUUUCUGCGAUUCCUAAACUUGAGUAAGUAAGAGGAGAAUGGAAUUCCUGGUGUAGAGGUAAAAUGUGUUGAUAUCAGGAGGAACAUCAAAAGCGAAGGCAAUUCUCUAGUACUCUACUGACGUUGAGGUGCGACAGCGUGGGGAUCAAAAGGGAUUAGAUACCCCUGUAGUCCACGCCGUCAACGAUGACCUUUCUAUAAAUAGCAAAAGCCGUCAUGAUUCAUGAUCCUUUUGACGUUUGUAUUAGCUAACGCGGUAAAUGGUCCGCCUGAGGAGUACGGUCGCAAGACUAAAACUCAAAGGAAUAGACGGGGGCUCACACAAGUGGUGGAACAUGUGGUUUAAUUCGAAACAACGCGCAAAACCUUACCAGUCCUUGACAUAAUCUUUCCAUAAUCUUUCCCUAAAAAAGAUAAUUUAAACUUUAGAGUUUAAAAUGAAGAUUACAGGUGUUGCAUGGCUGUCGUCAGUUCGUGUUGUGAAAUGUUGGAUUAAUUUCCUUAACGAACGAAACCCCUCUACUCAUUCACAAGUGUUAUGAAAAAUUUUUUUCAUAACACUUGAAAAUGAAUAUACAGCUGGUGAUAAACUAGAGGAAGGGAGGGAUCACGUCAAGUCCUCAUGACCCUUAUGGGCUGGGCUACACACGUGUUACAAUGGUAAGUACAAAGAGCAGCAAUGAUGAAAGUCGGAGCAAAUCUCAAAAAACUUACCCCAGUUCAGAUUGUUCUCUGCAACUCGAGAACAUGAAGCCGGAAUCACUAGUAAUCGUGGAUCAGCACGCCACGGUGAAUAUGUACCUGAGCCUUGUACUCCCCGCCCGUCACGGUCUCAGAGUUGAGUGCAUCAGAAGUAAUGUAUCGUCUUUCAAACACGUUAAGACUCUUUUUUUGUAAAAAAAAAGACAAGAUCUUGAAGAUCUUUUUUUACGUUUUAAAAGACGCAUUCCCAAGAUGUGUUUAGCGAUAGGAUCGAAGUCGUAACAAGGUAGCCGUAGGGGAACCUGCGGCUGGAUUUUUU